GAUGAACGCUAGCUACAGGCUUAACACAUGCAAGUCGAGGGGUAACGAGAGGGAAGCUUGCUUUCCUUGUCGACGACCGGCGCACGGGUGAGUAACGCGUAUCCAACCUGCCCCCAACUAAGGAAUAACCUUGCGAAAGUAAGACUAAUACCCUAUAAUUUCCUCAGAUGACAUCUGACGGGGAAUAAAGAUUUAUCGGUUGUGGAUGGGGAUGCGUCUGAUUAGCUUGUUGGCGGGGUAACGGCCCACCAAGGCAACGAUCAGUAGGGGUUCUGAGAGGAAGGUCCCCCACAUUGGAACUGAGACACGGUACAAACUACUACGGGAGGCAGCAGUGAGGAAUAUUGGUCAAUGGGCGGAAGCCUGAACCAGCCAAGUAGCGUGCAGGAUGACGGCCCUAUGGGUUGUAAACUGCUUUUAUACAGGAAUAAAGUUAGCCACGUGUGGUUAUUUGUAGGUACUGUAUGAAUAAGGACCGGCUAAUUCCGUGCCAGCAGCAGCCGCCG
Molecule: ribosomal RNA, 506 nt
Filed under: uncultured bacterium
Lineage: Bacteria
Description: partial 16S ribosomal RNA
Rfam family: Bacterial small subunit ribosomal RNA
Source: RNAcentral